RNAcentral lists this ribosomal RNA (89 nucleotides) under Phocaeicola vulgatus. Lineage: Bacteria; Pseudomonadati; Bacteroidota; Bacteroidia; Bacteroidales; Bacteroidaceae. The record is from RNAcentral.
UUCCACCUCUUCCCAUUCCGAACAGAGAAGUUAAGCCUCACCACGCCGAUGGUACUGCGUCACAGUGGGAGAGUAGGUAGCCGCCGUUU